GUCAUCUCACCGCGACCGCCUCUGUCUCCAUGGAGACGCGGCGCCCCGGAGCCCUCCCGAGCUCCAUAGAACAGCGGGAGGGGUCCGGGAACGGCGGCUCCGUAGAGCGGAGGGAGGGGGUCGGGAACGGCGGCUCCGUAGAGCGGAGGGAGGGGGUCGGGAAAGGCGGCUCCGUAGAGCGGAGGGAGGGGGCCGGGAACGGCGGCUCCGUAGAGCGGAGGGAGGGGUCGGGAACGGCGGCUCCGUAGAGCGGAGGGAGGGGGCCGAGAAUGGUGCAGGCAGGUGCGGUAACCGAGCACCCCCCCCCCCGCAGCCCGUGUGCCCCUGUCCUAUUGCGGCUGAGCUCGGCUGAGCGCAUCCCUAUGGAGCAUCCCGGAGCCAUGGAUGUGCCAUGGAUGUGCCAUGGAUGUGCCAUGGACACGGGGCUGAAGAGCUGCGGGAACAGGGAUGGGAGGAGCUGAUCCCAGCGCUGCCGGUGCCGGAUGACACCAUCCAAGUGCGAACUCAUCCCAAGUAACUCCAGGCUCUGUUCCCUUCUCCAGCCGGGAUAACAUGGAGCCGAUUCAUGGCUCCGACCUCGGGCUCCUGACUGGAAGCAAAGCCGUUCAGAGGAUCCUGUGCCCUAUGGCUGCCCAGCUCUGCCACCUCAUCCUGGCCCUGGAAGGGGAGCAUGGGAUCUGUCCCGAUAUAGGGCAGGAGGCAGAAGCGUUGGCUCAAGCCACAGAGGAACUCGCUGCUGCUGCAAUGAGGCUGGCUGAGGAUGCUGGAGAUGAGCUCCUGGAGGAGACACAUCCUGCGGCCGAGGCGCUGGUGCUGGCGGGCAGGAAGGUGGUGCUGGCAGCCGGCAGGGUCCGGGCACAGCCACACAGCCCUGGCCACAGGGAGGAGCUGACAGCGGCUGCACGGGGGGUACUGAUGGAGACAGCGAAGAGCAAGGACCAGCUGGUUGCCUGCGCGAGGCAGAUGGCUCUGCAUGGGCAGCAGUUUGUCACCUUUGGCCGUGCCCUGGCCAGGCUCUGCCUGGACACGAGGUGCUCCAUGGAGCUGCUGAGUGCCACCGAGCAGGCUCACACCAUCAGCAGCCAGCUCAGCAUCGUGGCCAGGGUAAAAGCAGUCACUGCAGAGAGCAAAUCCUCUUCUGAGCUGCUCGUGAGCAACACACAGAACCUGGUCCAGGCAGUUCUGCACAUCCUGAAGGCAGCUGAGGCAGCGUGUGUCAAAGGCCUGCGCCAGCCUCUGCCUGACACUGAGGAAGCAGCAGCAGCUGCUCUGUGCAUGCAGUGGAGAAGAAACCUGUUCCUGCACAGAGCCAAAGCAUCCUUCACCUCAGACAGGGAUGAACUGGGGCUGCGCAGGACUCGGACCACAGCUGAGCCCUCCCUGGUGGCAAUGGUGCAAGAACCACACACCAAGGACACCCCUGAGCACCCACGAGGUGUUAAAGGAGGUACAAUUAUGGGUGGCCACCUGUAGAAAGAGGAAGGGGCUUGUGCCUCCUUUUGGUGAGUGAACAGAGGAGAAUGAUGCCACAAACCAGGGCAGGCAGCCUGUGAUGUGGUACCUUCACUGUCCCAGCAGCUGCCAGUUCUGUGCUCUGCAGCACCCAAGAUGUGAACAGGAGGAGGUAGGACCACACUGGGAGCAGCAGCAGAUAUGGUUGGGGGGAAUAAGUAGGGCCAGGCCAAAGGGAAUGGCUUGAACCUGCCAGAACAGGGGAGACUGAGCUGAGCUCUGAGGCAGAAGCUGUUCCCUGGGAGGGUGCUGAGGCGCUGGCACAGGGUGCCCAGAGAAGCUGUGGCUGCCCCAUCCCUGGCAGUGCUCAAGGCCAGGCUGGACACAGGGGCUUGGAGCAGCUGCUCCAGUGGAAGGGGUCCCUGCCCGUGGCAGGGGUUGGAGCUGGAGGAGCUUUAAGGUCCCUUCAACACAAACCAGGUUGGGAUCCUAUGAAGGAUCAGGGGUUCUGUGAACAACCCAAUUACUCAUCUCCCACCCAAGAAAGCCACUGAGCUGGAAGGUCCUUCUCAGGCCCUGAUCUUUAGCACUUUAUCAACCUGUUCUGCAACCAUCCCCUUUUCUUCUCAGGGUAACAAUCCUAAAUACUGCACAGGAAGGGCAGCCAGAGAGGUAGAGCCCUGCAGCAGGCUCACACACUAAACAUGAAGUCAGGAGGGUAACAUGCACUACAGAAGCUGGAGGGAAGAUGCACUGAAUGAGAAGUGAGCCUAAGGGAGUUAAUUCAGGCAUCACCAAGAUCUGAAACACAAAACAGGAGUGCAAUUGUUCUGUUUGCAAGAAUAAAUGGAUUUCAUUUGCACUACGAAGGGUUUGUGUUGAGUCUUUUCAUCCCAGUAGGGAAAUACAAACCAGGCUUUUUGUUGUGGGGCAGCAAACCCCAGGCAGUGGCUGAGCAAUGCUCAGUCCUCCUGCAGUGCAGGAUCAGCCAAGACCAGACACCAACACCAACUCCUUCCCAUCUCCAGGGCUAGGAGUGGGGAGCAUUUUCCUGCCAAGAACUGAGACUUUCCUCCCCAAACCCCCUCAGCCCUGAGUAAGAUCCUCAAUGUAUCACUCACCUCAUAGCUAUGGGCUUCUGGAGUACCCAGGACCAACACCACAGCUGCUCCUGCUCUCCACUUCCAUGCUUCCAUAGCUCAGGGUGUGAGUUUCAAGCAUCCAAGGGGAAUGCUGCUCCAUGCCAGCACACUGCACUGCGGGAAGAGACAACACACACUGAAUCCAUCAGCAGAUCCGAUGUGACCUGCUCGGUGGCUGGAGCAGGACUGUCCCCACCGACAGCUCCAGCAUCUUCCCCAUAUCAGAUAGCUUCUUACUUGCACUGUAGGGAUGGAUCUCCUCUGUGUUUCAGGAGAGCAACAGCACAGCAGGGAAUCUGUAAGGAGUACACCCACAGGCAGAGGUGGAUGGAGGAGCAGCAGCAUCCUGCAGCCCCUGGUGCUGUAGCUGGGAAAUCCGGAGGCUGGAUCUGGCAGGAGGAAGGAAGGAAGCAGUUAACACAUGGAGACAAGAGGCUGCAAGCACCAGCUGCCCCCUUUCAGCUUACCUGUGCCCCUGCUGGUCCAGAAUGAAGGGUAUUGGACUGAAG
Molecule: long non-coding RNA, 3103 nt
Organism: Melopsittacus undulatus (budgerigar)
Lineage: Eukaryota; Metazoa; Chordata; Aves; Psittaciformes; Psittaculidae
Source: Ensembl